This 503-nucleotide ribosomal RNA is filed under the name Tylenchorhynchus teeni. RNAcentral describes it as "SSU rRNA". It matches the Rfam family "Eukaryotic small subunit ribosomal RNA", at positions 88 to 590 of the family's 1831-position model. Lineage: Eukaryota; Metazoa; Nematoda; Chromadorea; Rhabditida; Telotylenchidae. The record is from RNAcentral.
CGCGAAUGGCUCAUUACAACAGCUAUAAUUUACUUGAAUUUGACAACCCUACUUGGAUACCGGUGGUAACUCUAGCGCUAAUACAUGCACCAAAGCUCCGACCACGAGGGAAGAGCGCAUUUAUUAGAACAAAACCACACGGCUUCGGCCGUCCAAUGUUGACUCAGAAUAACUAAGCUGAUCGCAUGGUCUUGCACCGGCGACGUUUCUUUCAAGUAUCUGCCUUAUCAACUUUCGAUGGUAGUGUAUCUGACUACCAUGGUGAUGACGGGUAACGGAGGAUAAGGGUUCGACUCCGGAGAAGGGGCCUGAGAAAUGGCCACUAUGUCUAAGGAUGGCAGCAGGCGCGCAAAUUACCCACUCUCAGUACGAGGAGGUAGUGACGAGAAAUAACAAGACCGUUCUCACAAGAGGCCGGUCAUUGGAAUGGGUACAAUUUAAACCCUUUAACGAGUAUCUAUGAGAGGGCAAGUCUGGUGCCAGCAGCCGCGGUAAUUCCAGCU